GAAUUUUCAAAAAUGGUAUGUAUAUAUCCUCCGUUAUAUUUUAAGGUUGUAUAUACUCUUACCAUCAUACUUUUAGGUCAUAUAUAUCCUUAGAUCAAACGGAAAGACACGUGGCAUGAUCUCAAAUAUUUGCCCUAUUUAAUUUAUUUUAUCAAAAAUUAAUUAUUUUUAAUCAAUUUAUUUUAAUCCUUUCACUUCCCUUGCUGUCUUAGCUUCAAAGAGACGUCCGCUUCAACAUCCAAUUCUCUCCAUUGUUGACCUUAAAGCUUCCAAUUAUAUCCAUUGCUCAACAAAUCAAGCUCCUUUGUAUAUCCUUCGAGUUCGCUCCAUCCGAUUUCAAGUUCUCUCGAAGAAACCCCUAAAUUUUAUGUAUCUAGAUCUGCAACCACUAUUGGAACAAAAAUAGUUCAAAAUAUUCACUUAAUUUGAUUCGAAUUUCAUCACAAUAAAUAAUUUCUAGAUCUCCGAUCAAUGGCGAAGGAAUUUAACGUCCCAUCAAUGAAUUUUUCUAUCCGGCGAAACUCCAGAUCCACGGCAACAUUGCUUCCAACGGCGUCGUUUCAACCACUGAAGUCGUAGAAUCCUAAGAUACCUUUCAUGUCCUUCGAUGUAGGAUUUGUUGUUGCUUUCACUCUGCAAUUCAGGUCCACCACCAUCGGCGGCGGUGGCUCACCGGAUUUUGAAGGCGAGCUAUCAUUGCUGGAGGAGCUUGGGAUUAACACAAAACAAAUCUACCAAAAGAUGUAAUUGAUUGUGAAUUUGCUCACGUAAAGGCAGAUUUCAUCUUCUUUAUGGCAUAUUGUCGGGUUGUUCAUCUUCUUCAUGGCAUAAAUGCUGGAAAGCUUAAUUUUGAAGGGAUGGAUAAUUGGGAUUAAAAAAAUUAUUUUAGGGUUAAAAUAAAUAAAUAGGAUAAAUGAUGAAGAAGGAGAAAGAGGAUGGGGUGGUGGGGAGUUUGAGGAAGAAAAGACAAGCAGG
Molecule: long non-coding RNA, 975 nt
Filed under: Solanum tuberosum (potato)
Lineage: Eukaryota; Viridiplantae; Streptophyta; Magnoliopsida; Solanales; Solanaceae
Description: long non-coding RNA (STUB_LNC006975)
Source: RNAcentral